UGGAUAGGAGACAAGAGGGCAUCUUCUUGUUUUUAAAAGACCUAGCAAUAGGUAUGCUUAGGGAGGAGCUUGCGUCACAUUAGUUAGUUGGUGGGGUAAAGGCCUACCAAGACUAUGAUGUGUAGCCGGGCUGAGAGGUUGAACGGCCACAUUGGGACUGAGACACGGCCCAAACUCCUACGGGAGGCAGCAGUAGGGAAUUUUCGGCAAUGGAGGAAACUCUGACCGAGCAACGCCGCGUGAACGAUGAAGUAUUUCGGUACGUAAAGUUCUUUUAUUAGGGAAGAAUAAAUGAUGGAAAAAUCAUUCUGACGGUACCUAAUGAAUAAGCCCCGGCUAACUAUGUGCCAGCAGCCGCGGUAAUACAUAGGGGGCAAGCGUUAUCCGGAAUUAUUGGGCGUAAAGGGUGCGUAGGCGGUUAAAUAAGUUUAUGGUCUAAGUGCAAUGCUCAACAUUGUGAUGCUAUAAAAACUGUUUAGCUAGAGUAAGAUAGAGGCAAGUGGAAUUCCAUGUGUAGUGGUAAAAUGCGUAAAUAUAUGGAGGAACACCAGUAGCGAAGGCGGCUUGCUGGGUCUUUACUGACGCUGAGGCACGAAAGCGUGGGGAGCAAACAGGAUUAGAUACCCUGGUAGUCCACGCCGUAAACGAUGAGUACUAAACGUUGGGUAAAACCAGUGUUGAAGUUAACACAUUAAGUACUCCGCCUGAGUAGUACGUACGCAAGUAUGAAACUUAAAGGAAUUGACGGGACUCCGCACAAGCGGUGGAUCAUGUUGUUUAAUUCGAAGGUACCCGAAAAACCUCACCAGGUCUUGACAUGCUUCUGCAAAGCUGUAGAAACACAGUGGAGGUUAUCAGUUGCACAGGUGGUGCAUGGUUGUCGUCAGCUCGUGUCGUGAGAUGUUGGGUUAAGUCCCGCAACGAGCGCAACCCUUAUUGUUAGUUACCAGCACGUAAUGGUGGGGACUUUAGCAAGACUGCCAGUGAUAAAUUGGAGGAAGGUGGGGACGACGUCAAAUCAUCAUGCCCCUUAUGACCUGGGCUACAAACGUGAUACAAUGGCUGUUACAAAGGGUAGCUGAAGCGCAAGUUUUUGGCGAAUCUCAAAAAAACAGUCUCAGUUCGGAUUGAAGUCUGCAACUCGACUUCAUGAAGUUGGAAUCGCUAGUAAUCGCGAAUCAGCAUGUCGCGGUGAAUACGUUCUCGGGGUUUGUACACACCGCCCGUCAAACCACGAAAGUUGGCAA
This 1247-nucleotide ribosomal RNA is filed under the name 'Acalypha indica' phytoplasma. RNAcentral describes it as "bacterial SSU rRNA". It matches the Rfam family "Bacterial small subunit ribosomal RNA", at positions 170 to 1417 of the family's 1533-position model. Lineage: Bacteria; Bacillati; Mycoplasmatota; Mollicutes; Acholeplasmatales; Acholeplasmataceae. The record is from RNAcentral.